GACGAACGCUGGCGGCGUGCUUAACACAUGCAAGUCGAACGGAAAGGCCCUGCUUUUGUGGGGUGCUCGAGUGGCGAACGGGUGAGUAACACGUGAGUAACCUGCCCUUGACUUUGGGAUAACUUCAGGAAACUGGGGCUAAUACCGGAUAGGAGCUCCUGCUGCAUGGUGGGGGUUGGAAAGUUUCGGCGGUUGGGGAUGGACUCGCGGCUUAUCAGCUUGUUGGUGGGGUAGUGGCUUACCAAGGCCUUGACGGGUAGCCGGCCUGAGAGGGUGACCGGCCACAUGGGGACUGAGAUACGGCCCAGACUCCUACGGGAGGCAGCAGUGGGGAAUAUUGCACAAUGGGCGGAAGCCUGAUGCAGCAACGCCGCGUGCGGGAUGACGGCCUUCGGGUUGUAAACCGCUUUCGCCUGUGACGAAGCGUGAGUGACGGUAAUGGGUAAAGAAGCACCGGCUAACUACGUG
RNAcentral lists this ribosomal RNA (468 nucleotides) under uncultured bacterium. RNAcentral describes it as "partial 16S ribosomal RNA". It matches the Rfam family "Bacterial small subunit ribosomal RNA", at positions 28 to 507 of the family's 1533-position model. The record is from RNAcentral.